Macadamia integrifolia is the source of this 4197-nucleotide RNA transcript. RefSeq lists it as uncharacterized. NCBI's taxonomy places the organism in Eukaryota, Viridiplantae, Streptophyta, Magnoliopsida, Proteales, Proteaceae. The record is from RefSeq and is a predicted model, not a curated record. The transcript is spliced from 19 exons.
UGCUAUUUCCUCUUCUCCCCCUGUUUUUGUUUAGUUACCAAAUCCGAGAGGAGAGAAAGUCCCUUCCUUUUAGGUAUAUCAAUAAACGGAGAGUUCCAGAGAGGAUUCGUGUUCCUCAACCCUCACUCAAUGCAGAGAUAUGCAGUGAUUUCUAUCUUUGAAAAACUCCGAUCUGCUCCGUCAAACCUAGGCGCGAACUCCGAUUCCGGAAGAGAUGCUAUUUCUCAGUGUCUUCAUUCCACUUCUGCUACCUUGAGGUUCCCCAUGGUUUGCUUGAACUUCAAUCGGGUCUCGACGGCCGCGACUCGCGUUUCGUCAUUGUUUUCGUCAAAGGGUUAGGGUUUCUUGUUCCUUCGCAUUUCAGAAGAACGAUACGUUGUGGCGGUUGGAUUCUCCGGAGACUCAUCUCUUCGUCAAGGUCGUUUAAUGUCGAAUUGAGGUUCAAGCGGAGCUUGUACAGCCAGUGCUCUUAUUAAUAGCGCAGAAUAAGCGCACGGGACUUGGAAGUUUGUAAAUUCUUGAGGCCUUUCUUAAGUUUCUCGAUAUUGAGGGUAUUUUCAUCUGCUUCAUCGUUUUCGUUCACAAGGCUUAAGUUUCCUCUUUUGCGUCACUGUCUUGCUCGUUUCCAUUCAAAGCUAUGCCCAUUGUCAAGUUGAUGAUGGAAAGCUUCAAAUAUUUUUCCGCGGAAAAUGCAGAAUCCUGGCCAUGAGUAUUUUGUCGCUCAACUCAGAUUCUUAAAGUUUGAAGGAUAUAUCAGGACAUGAAAAAUCUCAUUGACGUUGCUGAAUAUCUGGUGGAUGCAUUUACGGUGAUCUUGAGGCAGGUGGUUGGAACUGGAUCGUUGAUCAAAGAGGCUCGACUAUGCAGCGUCGAACUGUUUGAAACUCUUCUAUCAUUUUAUAGUGAUUUUCACGAGCUUUCUGGUGGGAGUGAGCCCAUUUUCAAACUGUCGAAUAGUGUAUUGCUCAUUCAGAAAGAGCUUGGAUUGCCGUACAUACCAGAAUUGUUAUCAGUGAAGAUGUCCUUAUUUCUCAUACUUACUCAAGCUGAAUUUGAACAUGAACAACUUUUUGUGCUGAAAAUUGGAGUUUGCUUGUUUAAGUGGAAGAUUGAAAAUGUGAUCCAAAUGUGGGUCCCAGCUCUUCUGUAUGGUGCUUAUGACGAAUGUUGGAAGUGCAUAGCUUCUCAGGGUUCAUCAUGUUCUUCACUUGCAUCAAUAGGUUUUGCCUCCAUCUGCUCAUGCAAUAACAGCAACUGCAUCAAAAUUCCUACUGAAGUGGUUGUUUUAGUAUGAACAUGAAUACAGGCAAUGGUCUGUUGCAAUUGCUCUAGGGUUGGUCUCUCUUUGUUUACAUGCAAGUAUGCAACUGAUCACAAGCCAAAAUUUCAGAUCAUUGCUGGACUUCUUGAGAUUAGAUGCUCGUGAUGUGGCACUUGUAUUCGAGUUGAGAGAUGUGCGUGCUACUGUUCCAAAUGGAAGAAAGCGGUGCAAAGAAAGAUAACUUUUGCUGCAAGAUUCAGGAGUACAUGGUUAAUGAGUCAAGCUGAGGGGGUCUUCUCGAGAAAAUUCAUUGAGGUUCCUCAUUUUUUCCAAUUGAUUUUUGUUUAAAUUAUGAUUUUUGAUGUUAUUGUGUUUGCUUCUUCUACAGAGAUGUGCAUGCUACUGUUCCAAACGGCAGAAAGUGGAUUAGGUGCUUAUGAUGUGGCACAUGUAUACGGGUUAAGGUUGAUUGUGGAAUCUUGAAUAUUUAUGGUUGGACUAUCCUAUGAUGUGUUUCCGAAUUUGAAGGAGGAAUGUCGAUGGAAUAAAGAAAAAUAUCAUGGCUGUUGAUUGAUGUUGCAAAGAUUGAGUUUCCUUUCUCCUUUCUCCUUGUUUGUUUUCCUUUUUGUCCCCCUCUUCUACUCCAAUUUUAUUUUGUAACUUUAUUGUUUUUGCAGAUUAGGUGCUCAUGAUGUGGCACAUGUAUAUGAGUUGAGGAAUAUGGAUGGAAUAAAGAAAAAUAUCAGUGGCUGGCUGAUGCUGCAAAGAUUGGAUUAGAUGCUCAUGAUGUGGCACUUGUUUUGAGUUGAGAUUAGGUACUAGUAAUGUGGCACAUGUAUUCGAGUUGAGUGAUGCGCAUAGAAUUAUAAAGCAAGACACGGGAUUGAGGAAUGCAUGGUUAAUAAGGACUAGCAGUCUUGGAGGAGGUCUUCUUAAGGACAGCAAACUCGUCAUUGUUUUGCAUAGCCGCAUAGAAAGAUAUCGUAUCCUAUAAAAUUGAGGAGUGCAUGGUUAAUGAGUUGAGCUGAGAUUAGGUGCUCGUGAUGUGGCACAUAACAUGAUAAUUCCACAUUUGGGAUGCCAUCUACUAAAGAUCAGAGUGCUGGCAUGCACUUUGAUGGUGCUGUUGAACGCAUUGUGGAUCUCAGUGUAAAGAAGGCAUCAAAUCCAGUCCUUGACAGUUACAGUCCAUUAAAGGCUUCAUCAGAUGCUGCAGGUAUCAGCCAUAAGGAGGUUUCCAGCCCACUUAUUCAAGUUGGAGGCCCAUUUAGACUUAUUCAAGAUUAUGCUUUUGAUGGCAGUGUAAAAGGAUGAUGAGACUUCUCUUGAAAAUGUCAGUCUUGUAAAGGUUUUGGAAUGCGAUGCUGACGGUGCUACAAGUUCUUGCAAGGAUACAGGGGUUGGUGUGGAUGUAAAUGUAGACUCCAGGAUGACUGAAAAGGGUGUUAAAUCGUUUAAUGAGUCCAUUUUGAUAGAUCCUAUAAAUGUGCCAGAUAUUUCCCUAGAGUAUUGUAAAGUGGGGGAGGUAACUGUCGUAACUUCUGAUGCAUUAGACGUGAGCACCAAAGCUGAUGAACUUGGAGCUAAUAAUGAUGGGAAUCAAACAUGUAAUGACCCAACUACUUCACUAGAGGUUUCUGAGAAAAAGGGUGGUUUGCACAGUGAUAUUGUGUCUAUUGAUCACCAGAGUGAGUUACGAAAGGAAGAUGCAAACCAAGAUUAUACCUCUUAUGAAAGUGGAUGUGUUUGGGUUAUUGGUGUGAGAAGAUGCUACUGACAGUGACUCUGAUGGGCUGUGAAGAGAGGCAGGAGCUGGAGCCAGUCUCCGCAAGAUUGGAGGAGGAAGAGAAGUUGCAGUCCAUGGAGGAGAGAUAGACGGAGCCGAUCUCGCAGGAUAAACUCUAUCCUCUUUAUGGAUUGAAGUACAUAUUUUUGGUCCACUAUUCAUUAUUGAAGAUUCAGAGAACUAUGUUUUUAGGUAGUGUACUUUGCUUGUGGCAUCCAUGAGUAAUUAUACGUGGCAACUUGAGAAGCUUAAAGAUUUAAGUUGUUGUAUUUGAGCUGGUUCCCAAAGAAAUGAAGAAGCAGAAGCAGGUCUCCUGCUGCUUUCAGGCACAAGGGUGAGUUUGACAUUGAGAAAACUAAACGAGAGGGGCCGUAUGCUAGUUUGCUUUGAUUUCCUUCGGGGCAGGUGCAACCGUGGAGCAUCUUGUUGGUAUCUGUAUGAUGAUUCUCCUAUGCAUGAUGGAUUGAGGCACUAUAAAACGAAACAAUCACAGCAUCUGGAGGUUUCACAUGAUUCUGGAAAGCCUGUUGUCAGUGGGGAGAUUAAGAAUGUAACAACAAAAAUGUAUGAUUUUGAGGAAGUCAAGAGCCAAGAUAUGCCUGUGAGUAUCACUGAGGCUCCAAAGGAGGGGGCAUUUGAUGGAAAAGAGAAAGGGGAACCUAUUAUUCAGCCUCUAGCUUUUGAGAAUCUUCAGCUGCCAGCGGAGAACCUCUCACCUUUACCCCUAGAUAAAUCACCAAAGCAAUCAUCAACUGAUAUUGAAAAGCAGAAUUUGCCGGGUGAAGCCUCUCAUGGUCAACCUUUAUCAGAAGAAUUUUCAAUGGCUCAAUUCCCGAUGCCCGAUGCUUUGCUACCAUUCUUGAAAAUGCUGGUCACUAUUUCCAGCAAGUAGAGAGCUCUUCUGUGUCCUGUCCUUCACCACUUCAAACAUCCACAACUCCGGCUGGGCAGCCUCCCAUGUGUGACCCAUAUCCAACCCUACCUUCUAUGAGCCUACCUUUAUCUCAGAGCUUUGCCCCUCAACCUAUGGCUUGGAGGCAAUGAUUAAAGUAUCGGUAUCGGUCGCCGUAUCGGUUGGUCAAAAUUAAGAUAUGUAUCGGAGGGUAUCGUAUCGUAUCGGAGAUACGCUAAGAUAUGCUAAAGAUACGCA